This 883-nucleotide ribosomal RNA is filed under the name bacterium Zye1. RNAcentral's name for it is "bacterial SSU rRNA". It matches the Rfam family "Bacterial small subunit ribosomal RNA", at positions 594 to 1476 of the family's 1533-position model. The record is from RNAcentral.
GUGAAAUCCCCGAGCUUAACUUGGGAAUUGCAUUCGAUACUGGUUAGCUAGAGUGUGGGAGAGGAUGGUAGAAUUCCAGGUGUAGCGGUGAAAUGCGUAGAGAUCUGGAGGAAUACCGAUGGCGAAGGCAGCCAUCUGGCCUAACACUGACGCUGAGGUGCGAAAGCAUGGGGAGCAAACAGGAUUAGAUACCCUGGUAGUCCAUGCCGUAAACGAUGUCUACUAGCCGUUGGGGCCUUUGAGGCUUUAGUGGCGCAGCUAACGCGAUAAGUAGACCGCCUGGGGAGUACGGUCGCAAGACUAAAACUCAAAUGAAUUGACGGGGGCCCGCACCAGCGGUGGAGCAUGUGGUUUAAUUUGAUGCAACGCGAAGAACCUUACCUGGCCUUGACAUAGUAAGAACUUUCCAGAGAUGGAUUGGUGCCUUUGGGAACUUACAUACAGGUGCUGCAUGGCUGUUGUCAGCUCGUGUCGUGAGAUGUUGGGUUAAGUCCCGCAACGAGCGCAACCCUUUUCCUUAUUUGCCAGCGAGUAAUGUCGGGAACUUUAAGGAUACUGCCAGUGACAAACUGGAGGAAGGCGGGGACGACGUCAAGUCAUCAUGGCCCUUACGGCCAGGGCUACACACGUGCUACAAUGGUCGGUACAAAGGGUUGCUACACAGCGAUGUGAUGCUAAUCUCAAAAAGCCGAUCGUAGUCCGGAUUGGAGUCUGCAACUCGACUCCAUGAAGUCGGAAUCGCUAGUAAUCGCGGAUCAGAAUGCCGCGGUGAAUACGUUCCCGGGCCUUGUACACACCGCCCGUCACACCAUGGGAGUUUGUUGCACCAGAAGUAGCUAGCCUAACUGCAAAGAGGGCGGUUACCACGGUGUGGCCGAUGACU